RNAcentral lists this ribosomal RNA (345 nucleotides) under uncultured bacterium. RNAcentral describes it as "partial 16S ribosomal RNA". It matches the Rfam family "Bacterial small subunit ribosomal RNA", at positions 338 to 680 of the family's 1533-position model. The record is from RNAcentral.
CCUACGGGCGGCAGCAGUGAGGAAUAUUGGUCAAUGGCCGGAAGGCUGAACCAGCCAUGCCGCGUGAAGGGCAGGGCCCUAUGGGCGUUAAACUUCUUUUGUGCGGGAGCAAGAAUGGUCACGGGUGGCCAGACGAGAGUACCGUACGAAUAAGCAUCGGCGAACUCCGUGCCAGCAGCCGCGGUAAGACGGGGGAUGCAAGCGUUAUCCGGAUUUCGUGGGGUUCAAGGGUGCGUAGGCGGUGAGGUAAGUCAGCGGUGAAAUGCCCCCGCUCAACGGGGGGAAGUGCCAUUGAUACUGCCUUGCUGGCUUGCGGAUGCCGUGGGAGGAUUGUGUGGUGUAGCG